Molecule: unclassified non-coding RNA, 184 nt
Filed under: Cyperus sanguinolentus
Lineage: Eukaryota; Viridiplantae; Streptophyta; Magnoliopsida; Poales; Cyperaceae
Source: RNAcentral
UCGUUUCCUCGAAACACGACCGCGAACACGUAACGUAAAGCUGCCGGGGAGGUCCUCCUCUCCGGACCCACCGGCCCCGGCCGCUCGGCCGGUCGUCGGAACACGGCGCGGACUGUCGCCAAGGAACACCGAUCUGCCCUCGGCGCGCCGCACUCCGCGGCGCUGUCGUGGCAAAGAGAGAAAC